Molecule: small RNA, 556 nt
Filed under: Pongo abelii (Sumatran orangutan)
Lineage: Eukaryota; Metazoa; Chordata; Mammalia; Primates; Hominidae
Description: processed transcript
Source: RNAcentral
GUCAGAGAAGGAGUCACUGUGGAUGGGACAGGCAGCCCCAGGGGUUCAGGAGUGAUGCCCCUGCCUCUUAGAUAGGAGAUGGAGUGUCCACGUCAAAAACGUUGUAUAUAUUUUUACUCACUUUUCACAUUAAUGCGCCAAAAGUUAAGUUUUGGAAAAUAUGCCCCAUGGAGCACAUUCUGGUUCGUCUGGAAACUGAUUCUCGACCUGUGUCUCGGCGCCUGGUGAGCCUCAUCUUUAAUUCUUUCCUGCCUGUGAAUCAGCCGGAGGAGGUCUGGUGCGAGCGCUGUGUCACCCUGGUGCAGAUGAACCACGCUGCUGCCAGGAGGUUCUAUCAGUACGCCCACGAACACACCGCCUGCACCAACAUAGCAAAGCUGAUUCACGUUAUUCGUCAUUGCUUAAAUGCCUGUAUCCAGAGGGCAGUGAGAGAGCCUCCAGAGGAUGAGGAGGAAGAGGACGGAAGGGAGAAGGAGAAUGUGACUGAUGAUCGCUGCAAGAUCCCUUUAUUCAUGCUAAUGUCCUUUAUGCCGGCCUCUGCUGUCCCUCCAUUCAG